AUACAUGCAAGUCGAGCGGACCGACGGGAGCUUGCUCCCUUAGGUCAGCGGCGGACGGGUGAGUAACACGUGGGUAACCUGCCUGUAAGACUGGGAUAACUCCGGGAAACCGGGGCUAAUACCGGAUGCUUGAUUGAACCGCAUGGUUCAAUCAUAAAAGGUGGCUUUUAGCUACCACUUACAGAUGGACCCGCGGCGCAUUAGCUAGUUGGUGAGGUAACGGCUCACCAAGGCGACGAUGCGUAGCCGACCUGAGAGGGUGAUCGGCCACACUGGGACUGAGACACGGCCCAGACUCCUACGGGAGGCAGCAGUAGGGAAUCUUCCGCAAUGGACGAAAGUCUGACGGAGCAACGCCGCGUGAGUGAUGAAGGUUUUCGGAUCGUAAAACUCUGUUGUUAGGGAAGAACAAGUACCGUUCGAAUAGGGCGGCACCUUGACGGUACCUAACCAGAAAGCCACGGCUAACUACGUGCCAGCAGCCGCGGUAAUACGUAGGUGGCAAGCGUUGUCCGGAAUUAUUGGGCGUAAAGCGCGCGCAGGCGGUUUCUUAAGUCUGAUGUGAAAGCCCCCGGCUCAACCGGGGAGGGUCAUUGGAAACUGGGGAACUUGAGUGCAGAAGAGGAGAGUGGAAUUCCACGUGUAGCGGUGAAAUGCGUAGAGAUGUGGAGGAACACCAGUGGCGAAGGCGACUCUCUGGUCUGUAACUGACGCUGAGGCGCGAAAGCGUGGGGAGCGAACAGGAUUAGAUACCCUGGUAGUCCACGCCGUAAACGAUGAGUGCUAAGUGUUAGAGGGUUUCCGCCCUUUAGUGCUGCAGCAAACGCAUUAAGCACUCCGCCUGGGGAGUACGGUCGCAAGACUGAAACUCAAAGGAAUUGACGGGGGCCCGCACAAGCGGUGGAGCAUGUGGUUUAAUUCGAAGCAACGCGAAGAACCUUACCAGGUCUUG
RNAcentral lists this ribosomal RNA (952 nucleotides) under Bacillus licheniformis. RNAcentral's name for it is "bacterial SSU rRNA". It matches the Rfam family "Bacterial small subunit ribosomal RNA", at positions 51 to 983 of the family's 1533-position model. Lineage: Bacteria; Bacillati; Bacillota; Bacilli; Caryophanales; Bacillaceae. The record is from RNAcentral.